Long non-coding RNA from Pongo pygmaeus (Bornean orangutan), 2473 nucleotides. RefSeq lists it as uncharacterized. NCBI's taxonomy places the organism in Eukaryota, Metazoa, Chordata, Mammalia, Primates, Hominidae. The transcript has 2 exons. The record is from RefSeq and is a predicted model, not a curated record.
CUCCUGGAAGCGGCUGGCCAGUGUGCUCGAGCACUGCUUGGCCGCCUGCAAGUUCUGCUCCACCUCACCCAGGAGGGACUUCUGGGCCUGUAACUCAGAGGCCAUGGCCUGGCGGGGCAGAGGAGGAGACGGCGGUGCUACGGCCAGGUGACAACCCCAGAGCUCCCAGAGCUCCCAGAGCCAGGUGACAACCCCCCCAAAGCCCCUGGGCCACUGGCUGUAGGAGGGUGGGCAAGGCCACAAGUAGGAAGGACCGGAGCCUUGAUCUGUACAUCCCAAACCUGAGUCACUUCUGCCAUCUUGUUUUAUUACAAUGAACAAAGCUCCGAAAAACUAACUUCUAAAAACCCUGCAGCAGGCAGCUCGUGCCCUGCACUAGAACAGCCUGCCACUAGUCGUGAGGCUGUGGCAAAAGCAAGUCGUGAGAUGGGAGUGUGAAUAAGGGGCCUCAGGUCACAGACUUGAAUGUUUCCUAUGCUCAGGCAAUGUGGGAAGGGGGCCCGUGGCAACUGCGAGGUAAGCAGGCCGAGGAGGCAGCUGCUCCUCUGCCCACUGACUUGCCCUCUGGGCUGCAGCCCAGGAUGCCAGCUCUGCUCAGCAAGAGAUACUGGGAACAUGGAUUGUUAUGUGCUUUAUGUGUUUUUUUUUGUUUGUUUGUUUUUUUUUUAAAGAGAUAGGGUCUUGCAACAUUGUCCGGACGGCUGGACUUAAACUCCAGGGCUCAAGCAAUCCCGCCCCAGCCUCCUGAAUGGCUGGUGUUACAGGCAUGUGCCGCUACACUUGCUAUUGCAGAUAUUUGAUCUUAAAAUGCUGGCACCCGAAAUCCCGUAAGUCAUACAGAUCCCGUGAAUAGCUCGGAUUUGUACUGCGGGCCUCCAUUUGUAGUUCCCAAUUUGGGCAUUCCAAACCCGGGGAGACUGGAUGCUGGUGUCCUCGUCUGUCCAGACGGGGCGGGUGGAUGUGCCUGAUGCCCUCACCUGCUCAGAGAAGGACUCCCAGGACUUGGGCCCUAGACUCACCGCCAGCUCCUGCCCCUUGCUGUCCAGGACACGGCUGCUCUCAGGCACUGUGUCAUCCUGAUUCAGAUGGUUCUCAUGUGUGGCCAGCAACUCCCAGCCCUGCUGCAGGCUCUUCUCCAGGCGGUUGGCCACAUCAACCCUGAGGACACCAGUCAGGCGUCAGGGGAUGCCCACCUGGCCCCCUGACCCCCACCCCAACCUCCAUGCUGCCUGUCUGCCACCCACUUCUCCUGGGCCAAGUCCAGCAGCUGCACGAGAUGCUUGUAUUUCCGGUUGGUGUCCUCCACCCGGGUCCUCAGCAGGGGUGUGGUGCCACUGCCUGGGAGGGCCUGGAUGAAGGCUUCGCCCUCAGCUGUGCUCCGUGUCUUCUCAGGUUCAAUCCGCAGUAGCUCGUUGGUGAUGUUCUGUGGGGACCAGGGCCCCUCAGUUUUGGACACAGCCAGGCAGCCCCUUCCCCUGAGGAUGUACCCAGGGUGGGCACAGAUUCCCACAUCAGGCACAGUGGAAGCAGCUGGAGAGGCCUGGCACACUCUGGGGCUCUGACCUGGCAUCGGGACCCCAGCCUGAGGGCUGCAUUUUUCACGAGCAUCACAGGGAACCGCUGAGGUGGACUGGACUAGUGACACCAGAAGCACCCAGGCAGCUGCUGGGCCUGUGCUGUUCUCAGCACUGCACGCGGACGCUUCUGUUUAAUCUUUGCGGCAACCCUGGGAGGUACCUUGAGGUCCUUGGCCCGCUCGGCACUGUCCUGCACAGCCCGGCCUUGCUCCAGUGGUGGCCGCAGGAUCCCUGUGAUGGCCUUCUCCUGCCGGGCCAGGUCGCUGGCCACCUUGUCCAAGCCAGCCAGCAGCUGCCGCCCCUGUAGGUCAGAGGCAUCUGUGGAGGGAGGGAGGACACAGGCAGGUGUCACAACGGGCCAGGGGUGUGAGGCCCGGGGAUGGACCUAGGCAGCCAGCCCCCUGCCAUCUCAUCCACAGCACAGACCCUGGUCCAGCCCCUCCUCCCCGGUAUCCCCAGGGCCUCAGGCAAGUGGCCCUGGCACCCACCUCUGGGAUUCUCAGUCUUCAGCACCUCAUACCGCUGCUGCAGCGUGCGUUUGCUCCCAGCUGCCUUCUGCCGCACGCUCCGGUACUGGCUGCCCAGGCUGUGAGGAUAGAAAUGAGCUGGGAACCUGGGCAGCCCACCACCCCCUGCACCCACAGAGGCGGGACUGCAGACUCUGGCUGGGCAGACACCCCAGAGGAGCCUGACAGCUCCAUAGAUGCAGACAGCAAGUGCUCACUGUGGCACUGGCCUUUCCGUGCUCCUGGGCUCAGAACUCUUCUCCCUCCUUCCCUCCUCCUCUUUCGUAGGAAGUCUUACUACCUAAAAUUGUCUGUCCAAUAAUCUCCACCAAGAUGUUACCUCUGAGGGAGCAUACACAGUAGGUGCUCAAUAAAUACUUAAUAAAUGAA